Molecule: ribosomal RNA, 325 nt
Filed under: uncultured eukaryote
Lineage: Eukaryota
Description: partial 18S ribosomal RNA
Rfam family: Eukaryotic small subunit ribosomal RNA
Source: RNAcentral
CCCUUAGAUGUUCUGGGCUGCACGCGUGCUACACUGAUGCAUUCAGCAAGUAUACUUCCUUUGCCGAGAGGCCUGGGCAAUCUUGUAAACAUGCAUCGUGAUAGGGAUAGAUUUUUGCAAUUAUUAAUCUUUAACGAGGAAUUCCUAGUAAACGCAGAUCAUCAAUCUGCAUUGAUUACGUCCCUGCCCUUUGUACACACCGCCCGUCGCACCUACCGAUUGAAUGGUCCGGUGAAGCCUCGGGAUUAUGAACAAUGCCUUUGUUGGCAUUGUUUGUGAGAACUUGUCUAAACCUUAUCAUUUAGAGGAAGGUGAAGUCGUAACA